GAAUAUUGGACAAUGGGCGAAAGCCUGAUCCAGCCAUGCCGCGUGGGUGAAGAAGGCCUUCGGGUUGUAAAGCCCUUUUGUUGGGGAAGAAAUCCUGCUGGCUAAUACCUGGCGGGGAUGACGGUACCCAAAGAAUAAGCACCGGCUAACUUCGUGCCAGCAGCCGCGGUAAUACGAAGGGUGCAAGCGUUACUCGGAAUUACUGGGCGUAAAGCGUGCGUAGGUGGUGGCUUAAGUCCGUUGUGAAAGCCCUGGGCUCAACCUGGGAAUUGCAGUGGAUACUGGGUCACUAGAGUGUGGUAGAGGGUGGCGGAAUUCCCGGUGUAGCAGUGAAAUGCGUAGAGAUCGGGAGGAACACCCGUGGCGAAGGCGGCCACCUGGGCCAACACUGACACUGAGGCACGAAAGCGUGGGGAGCAAAC
Molecule: ribosomal RNA, 422 nt
Filed under: uncultured bacterium
Lineage: Bacteria
Description: bacterial SSU rRNA
Rfam family: Bacterial small subunit ribosomal RNA
Source: RNAcentral